UACGAAGGGGGCUAGCGUUGCUCGGAAUCACUGGGCGUAAAGCGCACGUAGGCGGACUCUUAAGUCAGGGGUGAAAUCCUGGAGCUCAACUCCAGAACUGCCCUUGAUACUGAGGAUCUUGAGUACGGGAGAGGUGAGUGGAACUGCGAGUGUAGAGGUGAAAUUCGUAGAUAUUCGCAAGAACACCAGUGGCGAAGGCGGCUCACUGGCCCGUAACUGACGCUGAGGCACGAAAGCGUGGGGAGCAAACAGG
This 253-nucleotide ribosomal RNA is filed under the name uncultured bacterium. RNAcentral describes it as "partial 16S ribosomal RNA". It matches the Rfam family "Bacterial small subunit ribosomal RNA", at positions 524 to 776 of the family's 1533-position model. The record is from RNAcentral.